GAUGAACGCUAGCUACAGGCUUAACACAUGCAAGUCGAGGGGCAGCAUGGUCUUAGCUUGCUAAGGCCGAUGGCGACCGGCGCACGGGUGAGUAACACGUAUCCAACCUGCCGUCUACUCUUGGACAGCCUUCUGAAAGGAAGAUUAAUACAAGAUGGCAUCAUGAGUCCGCAUGUUCACAUGAUUAAAGGUAUUCCGGUAGACGAUGGGGAUGCGUUCCAUUAGAUAGUAGGCGGGGUAACGGCCCACCUAGUCUUCGAUGGAUAGGGGUUCUGAGAGGAAGGGUCCCCCACAUUGGAACUGAGACACGGUCCAAACUCCUACGGGAGGCAGCAGUAGGGAAUCUUCGGCAAUGGGGGCAACCCUGACCGAGCAACGCCGCGUGAGUGAAGAAGGUUUUCGGAUCGUAAAGCUCUGUUGUAAGUCAAGGAGCGGGUGUGAGAGU
Molecule: ribosomal RNA, 445 nt
Filed under: uncultured bacterium
Lineage: Bacteria
Description: bacterial SSU rRNA
Rfam family: Bacterial small subunit ribosomal RNA
Source: RNAcentral